CCAAUAGCGUAUAUUAAAGUUGUUGCAGUUAAAAAGCUCGUAGUUGAAUUUCGGGAUCAGUACGCUGGUCGUGCCUUCGGUAUGCACUGGUGUCACUGGUUCCUCCCUUCUGAAGAACCGUUAUGCCAUUCAGUUGGUGUGGCGGGGAAUCAGGACUGUUACUUUGAAAAAAUUAGAGUGUUUAAAGCAGGCUCGCGCUUGAAUACAUUAGCAUGGAAUAAUGAAAUAGGACGUUUGAUCCUAUUUUGUUGGUUUCUAGGAUCGACGUAAUGAUUAAUAGGGAUAGUUGGGGGCAUUAGUAUUCAAUUGUCAGAGGUGAAAUUCUUGGAUUUAUUGAAGACUAACUACUGCGAAAGCAUUUGCCAAGGAUGUUUUCAUUAAUCAAGAACGAAAGUUAGGGGAUCGAAGACGAUCAGAUACCGUCGUAGUCUUAACCAUAAACUAUGCCGACUAGGAAUCGGAUGAUGUUAAUUUUUUAGUGACUCAUUCGGCGCCUUACG
RNAcentral lists this ribosomal RNA (500 nucleotides) under uncultured Glomeromycotina. RNAcentral describes it as "partial small subunit ribosomal RNA". It matches the Rfam family "Eukaryotic small subunit ribosomal RNA", at positions 591 to 1092 of the family's 1831-position model. Lineage: Eukaryota; Fungi; Glomeromycota. The record is from RNAcentral.